Homo sapiens (human) is the source of this 631-nucleotide long non-coding RNA. RefSeq lists it as uncharacterized. The record is from RefSeq and is a predicted model, not a curated record. The transcript has 3 exons. NCBI's taxonomy places the organism in Eukaryota, Metazoa, Chordata, Mammalia, Primates, Hominidae.
GCAGGUCAGGGGUCUGAGCAUGGCUUAGCUGGGCCAGGGUCUCCCACAAGUCUGCAAUCAAGGUGCCAGUGGGUGCUGAGAUCUCAUCUGGAGGCUCAACUGGGGAAAGAUCUUCCAAGCUCACAUGGUUGUUGGCAGGAUCCGAUUCCUCGUGGGCUGUUGGACUAAGGUUCCUCAGGGGUGCUGCCCUCUGUUCCUUGCCAUGUGGGCCUCUCCAUAGGACAUCAUACAUCAUCAAAGCCCAUGAGAGAGACACUCAGCUAGGAGGACAGAAGUUACAAUCAUGGAAAUGAUAUCCCAUCACUUUUGUUGUAUUCUAUUGGUUUGAAUCUUUCUAGCAAUGUGGCCAGACUUCUUACAAAACAGCUCCAAGAGGGAACAUUGCAAAUGGCAAAGAAGGAAGCUGGAGAUCUCUGAAGGCCAACCUUGGAAGUCACACAGCAUCACUUCUAGCACAUUUUGUUGGUUAAAAUGUGAAUAUAAAACCUCCAUGAGUCCUAGCAAGUCACUGAAUGUGUGGAUGAUCUCAGAGACCCUUGAAACAGUGACCAUCUCUCAGAAACAAGCUACCACAAAUGGGUGCUCCUAAGGCCCAUAAUGGGAAUCAGGAUUCCCUUUGGAGGCCAGAUGC